This 198-nucleotide ribosomal RNA is filed under the name uncultured bacterium. RNAcentral's name for it is "partial 16S ribosomal RNA". It matches the Rfam family "Bacterial small subunit ribosomal RNA", at positions 328 to 539 of the family's 1533-position model. The record is from RNAcentral.
ACGCUCGACACCUACGGAGGCAGCAGUGGGGAAUAUUGCACAAUGGGGGAAACCCUGAUGCAGCGACGCCGCGUGUGCGAAGAAGUAUUUCGGUAUGUAAAGCUCUAUCAGCAGGGAAGAAGAAAGACGGUACCUGACUAAGAAGCCCCGGCUAACUACGUACCAGCAGCCGCGGUAAUCUGAGCGGGCUGGCAAGGC